CCUACGGGAGGCAGCAGUGGGGAAUAUUGGACAAUGGGCGAAAGCCUGAUCCAGCCAUGCCGCGUGUGUGAAGAAGGCUUUCGGGUUGUAAAGCACUUUCAGUGAGGAGGAAGGCCUUAAGGUUAAUACCCUUGAGGAUUGACGUUACUCACAGAAGAAGCACCGGCUAACUCCGUGCCAGCAGCCGCGGUAAU
This 194-nucleotide ribosomal RNA is filed under the name uncultured bacterium. Its description in RNAcentral is "partial 16S ribosomal RNA". It matches the Rfam family "Bacterial small subunit ribosomal RNA", at positions 338 to 524 of the family's 1533-position model. The record is from RNAcentral.